RNAcentral lists this ribosomal RNA (306 nucleotides) under Triticum aestivum (bread wheat). RNAcentral's name for it is "partial small subunit ribosomal RNA". The record is from RNAcentral. Lineage: Eukaryota; Viridiplantae; Streptophyta; Magnoliopsida; Poales; Poaceae.
AUGAUGGCAAAGUUUGCAGAAUGGAGUCAACAGAUGGGAACCCAACAGGUGCCUACGAAGAGGGUUGACAACAAAGAAAAUAGUAAUCCAAACUUGCAAAAUAUUCUGUUACAGAGAUCUAGUCCUAAUAAGACUUCAGGUUCAAGGCCUACUGCUAUUUCUUCAAAUGCGCUCAUACAAGCUGUAGCAAGGAAUUCCCGGAUGUUUAAAGCAAUGGAUGUCAUGAGCAUGGGCGUGAUGCCUUUGCUGCUGACUCCAUUGCAAUGUCCCAUGCAAUAUCUCUUUCCGCUGAUAUAUGGGUCAUGA